GAAUUUUACAGUUCUUUUAGAAUUUUUUUCUAGCAGCUUUUUUGACUUUGGUCAGAAAACCUAU
Rattus rattus (black rat) is the source of this 64-nucleotide small nuclear RNA. RefSeq annotates it as U7 small nuclear RNA. The record is from RefSeq and is a predicted model, not a curated record. The transcript has a single exon. Lineage: Eukaryota; Metazoa; Chordata; Mammalia; Rodentia; Muridae.